Molecule: small RNA, 393 nt
Filed under: Drosophila erecta
Lineage: Eukaryota; Metazoa; Arthropoda; Insecta; Diptera; Drosophilidae
Description: GG14706
Source: RNAcentral
ACGCGCUCAACACAGUUGAAAAGUGUGCGUUGAACAGAACAGUCGUAGGCAGUACGCCAAGAGAUCAGUAGCAACUACGUAGUGAAGUCGCAAACAUGUGCAAGGCUGUUAUAGAUUGUAAAGAAAGAAUGAAGGAUUGGAAGAGUGUGAAGAGACGCUGAGCAAACGGCCUUCGAAUCGAUAGUGGUGUGAGUCAUGGGCGCUGCCACCAGAGAUCCAUGCGAAAAGCCAUCAGGCAUUGGUCCCGGAGCACACUCGUUUCCUGCUCCUCGCACGUUAAUGGCAACGAUGAUGAGGAACGGAACACAAACAAGAAACUACGUCGCAGUGGGCCACUGAAUGCAUCCGUGUCCCGGUAGCAACAAUAGUUCGACUAUGGCUGGUACUGGUAAA